This 197-nucleotide microRNA precursor is filed under the name Oryza brachyantha (malo sina). RNAcentral's name for it is "MIR812 microRNA precursor family". It matches the Rfam family "MIR812 microRNA precursor family". The record is from Rfam by way of RNAcentral. Lineage: Eukaryota; Viridiplantae; Streptophyta; Magnoliopsida; Poales; Poaceae.
AAUAAGUGCAGUUUUGUAUUGUUUGUAUUUAAUGUUUGAUCAUCCAUUUUAUUUAAAAAUAUAAUUAGUAGUUUUAUUAUUAUUAGAUAAUAAAACAUGAAUAAUACUUUACGUGUGACUAUUUUUUAAAAAGUAUAAAUUUUUAAAUAAGAUAAACGGGUAAGCGUUGGACAAGAAAACUCACAAAUACAACUAAA